GACGAACGCUGGCGGCGCGCCUAACACAUGCAAGUCGAACGAGCGAGAGAGAGCUUGCUUUCUCGAGCGAGUGGCGAACGGGUGAGUAACGCGUGAGGAACCUGCCUCAAAGAGGGGGACAACAGUUGGAAACGACUGCUAAUACCGCAUAAGCCCACGGUGCCGCAUGGCACAGAGGGAAAAGGAGCAAUCCGCUUUGAGAUGGCCUCGCGUCCGAUUAGCUAGUUGGUGAGGUAACGGCCCACCAAGGCGACGAUCGGUAGCCGGACUGAGAGGUUGAACGGUCACAUUGGGACUGAGACACGGCCCAGACUCCUACGGGAGGCAGCAGUGGGGAAUAUUGCACAAUGGGGGAAACCCUGAUGCAGCGACGCCGCGUGGAGGAAGAAGGUCUUCGGAUUGUAAACUCCUGUUGUUGGGGAAGAUAAU
RNAcentral lists this ribosomal RNA (429 nucleotides) under uncultured bacterium. Its description in RNAcentral is "bacterial SSU rRNA". It matches the Rfam family "Bacterial small subunit ribosomal RNA", at positions 28 to 452 of the family's 1533-position model. The record is from RNAcentral.